GCCCACGACCCGGCAUCGGGUAGAGGGAAAAGGAGCAAUCCGCUUUGAGAUGGCCUCGCGUCCGAUUAGCUAGUUGGUGAGGUAAUGGCCCACCAAGGCGACGAUCGGUAGCCGGACUGAGAGGUUGAACGGCCACAUUGGGACUGAGACACGGCCCAGACUCCUACGGGAGGCAGCAGUGGGGAAUAUUGCACAAUGGGGGAAACCCUGAUGCAGCGACGCCGCGUGGAGGAAGAAGGUCUUCGGAUUGUAAACUCCUGUUGUUGAGGAAGAUAAUGACGGUACUCAACAAGGAAGUGACGGCUAACUACGUGCCAGCAGCCGCGGUAAAACGUAGGUCACAAGCGUUGUCCGGAAUUACUGGGUGUAAAGGGAGCGCAGGCGGGAAGACAAGUUGGAAGUGAAAUCCAUGGGCUCAACCCAUGAACUGCUUUCAAAACUGUUUUUCUUGAGUAGUGCAGAGGUAGGCGGAAUUCCCGGUGUAGCGGUGGAAUGCGUAGAUAUCGGGAGGAACACCAGUGGCGAAGGCGGCCUACUGGGCACCAACUGACGCUGAGGCUCGAAAGUGUGGGUAGCAAACAGGAUUAGAUACCCUGGUAGUCCACACUGUAAACGAUGAUUACUAGGUGUUGGAGGAUUGACCCCUUCAGUGCCGCAGUUAACACAAUAAGUAAUCCACCUGGGGAGUA
RNAcentral lists this ribosomal RNA (689 nucleotides) under uncultured bacterium. Its description in RNAcentral is "bacterial SSU rRNA". It matches the Rfam family "Bacterial small subunit ribosomal RNA", at positions 173 to 882 of the family's 1533-position model. The record is from RNAcentral.